Molecule: long non-coding RNA, 1277 nt
Filed under: Mytilus galloprovincialis (Mediterranean mussel)
Lineage: Eukaryota; Metazoa; Mollusca; Bivalvia; Mytilida; Mytilidae
Source: RNAcentral
UCUGUGUACAUACGUUGUUAAUCAUUUUAAUAACGUGUUAUAGUAUCUUUUAUUUGUCUUUUUGAAUGUUACUUUUACUGUUUAGUCUAUUUUUAGUGAUAUUCAUUUGACGUGGAUCUGUUCCUCCCCUCAUUGGGUGAUUGUGCUAUGAUAAAUUUUUGUAUUCUUGUUUUUCUAUUUUGCUGAUGUGCUUUGUCUAUAUGCAUUUUUGUGUUUGUUUCUUAUAUAUAACGUGGUUCUGUACUUACACAUCCCGUCUUGUAUUAUUGUAAAAUGUUGUAUUAUUUUCUUCCAUUUCCUUAUGUUCUAGAGCUUUCGUCUAUAUGCCUUUUUGGGUUUCUUUGGGACAUAUGACGUGGCUCUGUUCUUAAUCAUCCCGUCAUUGUGAUAUGGUAAAAUUGUGUAUACUUUUCUUUCAUUUUCCUAAUGUUCUUUCGUCUAUAUUCCCUUUUAUGUUUCUUUGUUGACUGCUGUACCCUAAUUUUCAACAUUUUUACCUGUUGUGUCGGUUUGUUUUGUUCACACAUUGUUGUCAAUACAAUUGAAUUUUAUGCGACUGUCAUACAAAUGAGUUGUAUAGCUAGCAAUAAAACCAGAUUUAAUCCACCCAUUCCUACAUAAGAAAAUGCCUGUACCAAAUCAGGAAUAGGACAGUUGUUAUCCAAUCGUUUGAUGUGUUUGAGCCUUUGCUUUUUGUUUUUUGAUUGGAGACUUUCCGUUUUGAAUUUUCUCGGCGGUCGGUAUUUUUUUUUUUACUUUAAACUAUAUCAUUAUAUUCAAUACUAGAAUAAAUUACAUAACCCGAAAAUUUUGAGUGUUGACAAGUAAACAGAAACCGCAGAUUAUCACACUAGAGCAUUUCAAGUUAACUUCUAACAGCCGAGGAUUAUGCCAGACAAUGGGCUAAGCGCGAGAAGGAAGACGUAGACACUCUUUCAGAAUGGAUUAAGGCAGUGAGGUCGUUGAUACAAAUCAGAAUUAAGAAACUGAAUGGGUCUAUCAUUGCCUAUGCUACGUCAAUCUGUAAAAGACCAAAUGUUGCAAACACUUAUCCUACCUCCAUGACAAAUAUAUUGUUGUCCCCGCAGAUAAAGCCCCAAACAACAUCGUUUUUGUGCGUAAAACUCAUUACAUUAACUGCUUGAUAAACAAUUAAGGUAUUGACAAUUCACUUGGAAACUCAACAUAUACCCUCACGACACUUACCAAAGAGGAAAUUCUGGAUAAUCAUAGGUCUGUUCUAAGUUCCUUUGGAAUUUCAACUAAAGAUGAGGAAC